UCAUUCAUGACUUUGCAUUCAAACUCAUUUAAGAUGAAGAUUCAUAUCCAAACAUAUUCAAAAAUUUUAAAAAAAGACAUAUUUUGGAGGGAAACCAUUUUUCUUGUGAAACAAGUUACAUAUAUCAUUCAAAGGAGCAACUUUCAUUACAAACAUCCAAAUUCAUUACAAAGAGAGUAAAAACCAAAUCCCAUAAAAAAAUUAGUUUGACCUAGAGUUUCCUUUUGGUCAACAAUUGACUUUUUGGUCAAACAGUUGACCAAAGUCAAACUACCUAAUUCUAUUUUUUCUUCAUUCACAAGACAUCCCAUUUUUUGAUACUCCAAGCCUCCAAUGUCUUCAAAGUUCUCCAUUAUUCUUGAUGUUUUCAAAAACUUGCAUCUUGGUAAGCCAUGAUAUGUUAUACCUUUUCAGGGCCAAACAAACCAAACAAAGUCUCAUCUUAUCAUGAACCUUAAUCCUGCAGCAACAAGGAAAAAGAAUGACGCACAUUAGAAAGAUCAAACAAAGCCUACACAAACUCAUCAACACAACUCAAUCAUCCAAAUUAAUUCAUACCAAUUAGCAUAGCAUUGCAACAUGACCAAGUAUCAAUCCUAACAGACUAACUAAAUAGCCAACCAAGCCACCCCAAUGUACCUGCAUAACCACCAUUCCUCUGUAACAGUUCAAAAUCACAUCAGUUUAAAUUGACCUACUAACCAUUAAUUGGUUCACUUACAUAGCAACUAUAUGUUUCUAAACUAGGUUCACAAACACAUCAACACAAUUCCAUAGCAGUUCAUACCUUAAUUGAUCAACUUAGCCAACUAAUAUCCAUUCAAAUACCAUAUUCACCACCACACUAAUAUUUUAUGACAGUUCCAAUUUAAAGCUAACUCUCACUAAUAUGCAGCAGAACCUUCAACAACUGUUCAAUUCAACACAAGCUUACUAACUAAUUAACCCAACAAUCUAUAACAGUUCUAUCAUAGUCUAGUCAAUAGUUCCAAAUCACUAAAUUUUAACUUACUAACAUGCUGCUAACUGUUCACUUCUACUUUUAAGCAUUUAAGAUAACGACUAUAACCACUAAUAGUUAAAAUAUCAAAUUCCUACUAACUUCUAUUGGCUAACCUUCAUAGUAGUUCAUACUAACUAAUGCCAAAAUAACAAUAACAUUUCAAACUAACAUGACUAAUUUCUUCUCACUAUCCUAAUUGGCUCCACGAAUUCAUCAAGCUAACUACAUUAAUUCUCCAUUUCCAUAACUCAAGUGCACAACAGUCCUAACAUCACAACUAACCAACUAACUUAACUAUCAAGUCUCAUUUCACUAACAAACUGAUCCAAACUAACUGAAAUAACUUUCAGUUAACACUGUUAACUUCCUCCAACUAACUUCCUCAUGAAUUCCACUAGCUUUAACCCCUGCCAUAACCUUCAACAAACUCUACCCUAAUUUCCCGAAUUCAGUUACACUCUAUUCAUCUAUAUAAGCUUCAAUCAUCUUCAAUCUAAAGGGACCUUUUUCACUCUGCAAUUUCACCCUCAACAAUUUAUCACUCUCUCUGCAACUCAUCUUCAACCUCUAUCCUCCCUCACUUUAGAGCUCUCUCAUCCUCCAUUAUGUAAAAAUCACAUUGAAGCUUGUCGUAAUCAGAGCAUAACCUAAGCCUACUCCCUAUACACUAUACUCUCUACACUCUUGUCAUAUCAUCAACAACAACAACACGAAGAUACCAAUUCCUACAGACUAGACUCAAGGAGAAGAAGAAGAAGGAAUUGUGGCAAAAAGGAGUAGAUUGGUCUUCUAUAUUCUUCAGCUUUAUAAUCUUCAUCCUUAACAAGUUCCCAGGGAAAGUCUCAACCUUGAAGGUAGAUUCCAUUUCACUUUCUCUUGCUUUAAUCUUGAUACCAGUAUGUAACCUUCAUUGAGGGGAAUCAAAGCCCCAAGGUGGCAUGGCUUGAUUCCCCUCCAUCACCAUUUAUUGGUUUCUAGGGUUCUUGAACUAAUAUUGGGAUUUGAGAGAUUGCAAUGAUUUUUAGAGGGAGUGAAUGUAAGAAACAUAUAUAGUGGAAAAGAACGAGUAGAAUGGUGGUGGUUGAUGAUCAUUAUGGGUUGCUCUGGUGCCUUCGACGCGGCAGAGCGAUUUAUGGUGAAGAGAGUAAAUUAAGAGGGAGAUGACAUUGGUUGUGUAGAUGGAAACGUGAGUGAGGGAGUAUGAGGAUCCACUCUUCCUUUGCCCCUCUCAGUUUAGGCCUCCAAACACCAAAUCCCAAGUACUUUGAUAUAUACACCCUGUGUAUUGCUUACACACAUUCCUUCCUCCUGAACUCACAAGGACAAUGCAAACCUUGGGAUUUCUAAUGAUAAGCCCAACGUGCCCCCUUGAUGGCCAUACUCUCUGAUGACUUCUCAACAAAUGUACCGAUAUCGUUUCAGUAAUAAAAAGAUCGAAUCCACAGGGACUUCCUUCGAGCAAGCCAAAAUGUGUGCAAUUUAUAGAAAACAAGUAAAAAUGGGGGGUUUUCGAGUUUCAGUGUGAAUAAUAAAUAAGUGAGUAAACAAUGUCACGAAAGCGGUCAGGUUGUGUUUUAGAGUCCCAUGUUCUUCUAUGGUUGAUGUUUGAUGCCCUGUAUGAAUGAUCUAAUCACUAUAGCCUCACGGUGAAUUAACAAAAUAGUUAUAGUCGAUCCCUCACAAAAUAACUCACUAACCACCACUAAUAGCUUUCUAUCCCUAGUCUUCCAGCGUAAUCAGGUUUAGGUGAUGUCUAUAAUGUUAAUUCUCUAUGCCACUACUCGGGGUCACCUAUCCCUAUUCAACCAGCAUAAGUACAACAAUUGCCCCAGAUCCAACACAUAGACUAAUGGUUAGUAUUCCCUAUGUUACCAAAUUAGAUUAAAAGAGUAUCUCACAUAAAUGCAUUAUGAACAAGAAUAAAUUGAAUAAGAUUAUAGAUCAAUAGGUUCAUACAAUGGUCAAACCAACAUAGAAUCCAACAAUAUAAAAAUAGGUUCAUCAUAACACAACCUAACCUAGAAGAGUUUAGCUACUCAUAUUGCAAUUAAAAAUACCACAAUUGAUAGAUGAAAAUAACAUAAGAACUACCUCGAAGUGAUGUCCUCAAAUGGCUUCAAAUGCUCUAAAAAUAUGCAUUUGUAAUCUCAAAUUCAUGCUUCAAUCUCCCAAAAUCACAACCCUUGUGAAAGUGCAGAAAAUCCCUUUUCAAAGGUGCCAGAAUGGACCUGAACGCAUCAGAAAAUCCCAGAAAACAUACCUAUCACGCACGUGAUGCCUUACAUUGCACGCGCGAUGCAACUUUAAAGGCCCUAUCGCGUGCACGAUGGUGCACGUGAUUAUUCUGUUGGCUGCACGCUUUUACUCCCUUUUUCACUAAAUCCACAAUUUUCACACUUAGAUAAUUUUUCCUCAUUCUUUGGUUAUUCUUAUUCAUUUUAGAUCAACUUUCAGUUGUUUUGCUCCGAUUCUUUGAUUAAAUAUAUGCAAUGAUAAACUGUCAUCAUAACCCCAAACUUGAAUUGUUGCUUGUCCUCAAGCAACUCGCCUGCAACUGCACAUUUUGACUGACAACAAGUCACGCAAUAACAAUCGAACAUCACCAAAUUAAAUAUUUCUUUUACCUGACCAUUGUUAUAACUCCCAACUCCUAUCCGGCGAAUUCGGAAAACGUCCUCAACAUUAACGAGUACUCAACCUAUCUCUCAACUCACUUUAACUCACUCAAUGGAUAAUGUGAUCUCUCAAUCAACAUGCAAAAUCAAUUAUACUUAGCUUGAUCAUGAUCUAAUAGAGUUCAUCAUAGAAAUCACAACACACACAUUAUAGGUCUUUUCAGGUUGUAACUUGACUUAUGUUUGGGUAGGAUAUUUUGAGGAAAGUAUGUUUAGACCUUUGGAGCUAGGUGCCUAGUUAUCCUUCUAUCACCAUACCUCUUUGUUCCUUUUUGACAGUACUAGAGAGAUUUGGUCUUUCUUAUAAUAUCAUUUUUUUCUUUUCUCAUUUUUUUGAAGAAGUUUCUUUUUUCCACUUUUUAUCACAACAAUUUUUGAAAUUUUGGACCAUAUUCUCUAGUAUCCCAACCCCAAACUUAAAUGUUCGCUCACUUCCAAGAGCAACCCCAAACUUAAUCUUUUGCAUAUGACCAAUAAACUAAAUUUUUUACCUAACUCCAAAGAGAGGAUGGGAAUAUUUAAUCUUUCAAGUCAAUUGGCUAAUAGAUAUGGCUAUGUCACCGAAAUAAAGGGCUUAGGCUUAAACUGAUUAGUAAUGGAUUACCUAUUACUACAUGGUGGUUUUAAAAAGACUCAAAGUUAUAAACAAAAAACUGCCUUAGUGUGUUUCGGUAAAACCAGAUAACUUAAUAAGAAAUAGAUCAAACCAGAUAAAAUAAUAAUGCAUGGAUACACUCAUAAAGAACUAAAAGUGAAUAAUGGAAAUAUUUGGCUCAAACCUUACUAUAUGAGAUAUAUGUAGGUUGAGUACAAGUCCAUUGAUUCUUUUCUCAUACUUCACCUUCAAGUUUCUAGUCACUAUCGUGAUGAUCAAGUUUCUUUUGGAUUAUCUGUUCAAUGCUAAAGUGCUAAUUUGCAAUCGAAAAGAAACAAAAUAACUACAAACUUGUUUAUUUAAGACAAUAUAGGUCUUCUUGGAAGGUUUGUGCUUGAAUAGCAAAUUACUCUUGUGAUUGGUCUUGAAUAGAAAUAAAGUAAAUUCUAUAAAAUAAAAUCUGAUUAAAAAUGAUGGGUUGUAUCCCAUCCAACGCUUCUUUUCUGACAUUAACUUGACGUCCAUAACUUAAAAUACGUCAGGUGUAAGGGAUACCCUCACGCCUGUCACUUCCCUUCUCAUUGCUCCUUUAUAUACUUUCCUACCAUUUUCCUCCAGAUGGUAGCAAGUAUCCAAAUUAUCCACAUAAGAUGUUCAAUUAUAUACCUUGAAAACCACCUUCCUUUUAUUUGACUUCGAGAUAAGUUGACCCAUUUCCACAUCAAUCUUUGCUUUCUUGGUUGCUAAGAAUGGUCGUCCAAGAAUAACAAAUCCUCUUGAAUCUCAUUUUGUAUCAAGCACUACAAAAUUUUCAGGACACACUAAGACAUCGACAUAUACUAAUACAUCACGUAAAAUACCAACCUGUUAAGUAACAAAUGAGUCAGCUUGAGUGAGAGUCAUGUUACUCGGUAUGAUCUCACCCACUUUCAAUGCUUUGAUGGUUUUCAGUGACAUGACAUUUAUGAUAGAUCCCAUAUAACAUAGAGCAUGUGGAAUAUUCACUUCACCAAUAUUACAUGAAAUAGUAAACUUACAUGGGUGUUUUAAUUUAGGUGGUAAGGAUUGAGGUUUUACCACAUAAUCCUUUUCGGUCAUGUUUAGAUGUUCCUUGAUCAUUUUCUCUUUCGUCCCCUUUAGUAAUGCCUGCAUAAAUUUAACAAAGUUAGGCAUUAGUUCUAAAAUUUCACGGAAUGAAAUACUUAAUCGGAGAGUAGCUAGCAUUUCCUUGAAUUUUUCAAAAAGUUUUGAUUCAUCAUUGUAAGACCCCAAUUUUGAUCCUAAGAUCCCUCAUGCUGUCUCCUCAUAUGCAUUAGCUUUGGGAUCACACCUUGACAUCCUCCUUACCCCUCAUUCAUUGGGUUUGCAUUAGGAAAGAUCACCAAGCAUAUUUGAUUGUAUAAUACUUUGUUUUUCCUUAUUUACUAACCAAAAUGCCAAAAACAUGUCAAUGUAUAGUUUACUUCUUUUGUAGGUAGUGUGUGUGUGUUCACUUAUGCUCCAUCAAGCUCAUAUCUAGGGUUUGAGACCCUCAAUGCAAGGAGACUAAUCAAGAGAUGGUGAAAUUGGUUCUAGACAUCAUAUAUGGGUCCCCAUGAUCUUCACAUAUCAUUUUGAUCAAGAAAUCAUCAAGAGUUUGAAGCUUGUUUGCCAUGGAAGCCCUAAAUCAUCUGGGUAUCUUGUGUGACUUCCUUAGCAAGUUUCUUCAUCAUUUGAUCAAAUAUUUCAAGGGAUACUUCACAUUACAUCAUCUUACACAUAUAUGAUCCUCCAUGAGUCCCAAAUAUCAAGAUAAUGUCAAGUUAGCAAGUUGGUUCAUGGUAGUUGACCAGAGAAAGUCAACUGGUCAAAACUGGGGUUCCCUAAACCCUAUCUCCUACAAUUUUUAUCAUAUGAAAUUGAUUCCAAGAGAAACGUUACUUCUUAUUACAUUCCAAACAACUUUCAUGUUGAAGUAAAUAGCUAGUUUUUCUUGGAAAGUCAUUUUCUAUGGUGAAAGAUUAUAUGUCAUUUUGUCUGAACCCUAGUUAGGAGGUCAACUUCCAAGGACCAUAACAUGCUCAAUGUUUUUGAUAUGAAAUUCAUUCAAGUUUCAUGAUCAAAUUUAAUAUGUCCUAUCCAACUUUGAUUCUUGGAAGAAGUUCAAAUUCAACUUUAAAUUGCAUAUUCCAAGAGGAAAGAUUAUAGGUCCUUUUGGGCCAUCACCAUUGAACAAGUGAUUUUCCUCAACUUCAAAAAUGCAUAAAUCCUUCAUGCCAAAUCCAAAUGAGGUUAAAUUUGUGACCAAAUUUAAGAAGUUUGAAAUAUAUACAACUUUGGUGAAGAAAUGUUUUCCAUUUAAAGCCCAUAGCAAAAGUUAUUCAAGGUGGAAGAAGUGAACAUUUGACUUGGUACAUAGAAAAUUUUCAAAUAUGUUUGAUUUUCCAAAUUUCCACCUCAAUAUUCAUCAUGAUCCAAAUUCAAAUGGAAAAGUGUUCAACAUGAAAGUUGUUCCCCUUAAUCCCACUUUUCCAGAAAGUCCAAGAUCAUCUCAUUUGGCCAAGAAAUGAAGGACUUGCGCAUGGGUUAUUCUCGAAGGAUCACUUGGAUGGAUUUCACAUUCACUUUUCAAUCUCCAUUGCAUGAGUACAUGACAUGAUUUCAACAUUGCACAUUGGUAAUUUUGGACCUAAUAGCAUCAUUUAAUGGGCCUAUCACACGCUCAUGCAAGCAUGCAAUGAAAUUUCUAAAUUUGGCAAAUUUUGAAAGUGUGUGAAAAUGAAUUGUAAUGCCUAUAAAUACAACCCUCUUGACUCAGAAUUAAGGAUCUCAUGCCCAAGCUUUGAACCUGCAAUCCAAACCCUCACCAUUAAAGGAUAAUCUUGAUGGUUUUCAUUUGAAAAUCGAGCUUCAAAUCUUAUUCUGUUUUGAGAUUGAAACUCCAAGAGUCCAAGCUUUUCUCUGAUCCAAUUCAUCUCCUACAAGCUUCUGAAGCCAAGCCAAGGACAGCUGGAAGCAAGAUUAAGCAAGGUUGAAGCUCACUCGAAGGUGAUUUUCCAGAAUUUUCAUCUCUUCGAUUCUCUCUCAAUUCUUCACUAUUCUUUGUGAUUUUUGGUUGGCUGAAGUCCUACCAAUGUAGGCAACAAGAUUAAGUUGCUUGGAGGUCAAAUCGAAGCAACUUAGUUCAUGAUCCUCAAAAUUCAAAUCCCUGUAUCUUUUAUAUACUUGGAAUUGGAGAAAAUUGAGGCCAGAUUCGUGAUCCUUAACAUUUUCUCUUUAAAAUAGUGUCCUUAUUUUUAAGUUUUCAUUGAGUUGAAGGUGGACCAGUCCGAUGAGGUCCACCGGAGAAGAUGACUGGAGCCCUACCUCCGGUGGUGUGUUGGCGUGUCCAGAACCAUUUGAUCAUCAUCUCAUGUUUUAAUCUCAGUCUCUCAUUUUAAUUACCAAGUGUGUGGCGCAGUUGACUAAGGUGUUUGUGGAACACACGCGCUUUACCAUCAGAUCUGCCACCUCAAUUAAUGAGGGAGAUCUGAUGGCCCUUGUUUUUUUUGUAUUUUCUGAAUUUCCAUUUAAUCCCACUUAUUUUAUUUUAUUCAUAAAAUUUCAUUUUUAAUCCAAAAAAUAUGGGUCUUUCACCAAAAAUCUUUAAAUAUUUUUCUCUUUCAUAUUAUGAAUUAAAUUUUUUUUUUUGGAUUAAUUUUGAUAUUUUUCAUGAAUUAAAUGUUUUUGUGCAUAUUUUUAAUUGUUUAAAAAUACUUCUGACUUUUCAAAAAUCAUGAAAUUUUUUGUCUAAGGUCCUUUGACCAUUUGUGCAUAUUUUUAAUUGUUUAAAAAUACUUCUGACUUUUCAAAAAUCAUGAAAUUUUUUGUCUAAGGUCCUUUGACCUUGUUUGACCUAGGAUAAAUCUCUUGGCAAUUUAUUUGGUGUUUUGAGGAGAUUUUAGGUUUUAACCAAAUUAAAUUGUAUUUUAAUGCAUUUUAAAAUUAUUUUUAAUUGAUUAAUUGUGUAAAAAUUAUGUUGAGCCAUUUUUAUAGUCUUGGGAUGUUUGACUAUUUGUUUGAGCCUUGGUCAAGGUUGAUUUGAAUUUUGUUGGAUUAAAACCAUUGGAUUUAGGGGAAUGAUGAAAUGUACACUUCAUCUCCCAAAAUGAAUGGAUGGUUUUAAUUUGAUAAAAUUCCUCCCAUGACCAAUUUGUGUUUCUCUCAUUCCUUUCCCUCUUAAUCUUCAUCCCUAUUCUUUCCCAUUCCCUCAUUUGACCAAUGCAAUCUCUAAUGUCUUAAGGCUAAUUGGUUCAUCAAUGACCUUGUGUUAGAUGAACCAACACAAGUAUGACUGAGAUAGGUCAAUCCCUCUUGAUCUUUUCUUUUAGUGUGUGGUAUGUUUUAGGAGUUUGAUUCAUUAUACCAAAUCUCUAACAUGCAUUAACACCUAAAUUUUUAUUUCCCGGUCUCAGAUAGUUGUGACUUCUACAUAAGUCCAAUUACGAUUGCUUAACAUAAAGCUAAAUUUGACCCUAAAGGCAUAACAUUCUAGUAAGUGAGAUUGUAAGUCUCCCAUCCUUCAUGGUAUUGUAUGGAAACUUGACCUUUUUUCCUUCCCAUGGAAGAUGUCUUGGUUCAAGGAUCCAUGCUUGUGAAUUGGUUGAGUGUUCUUCAAAGAAUGACUUAAUAAAUUAAAAGAUAUCACUAACACUUGACUAACCUUUGACUAACAUUUGACUAACUCUUAUUAAUAUUGCUUUACUUUCAAGUCAUUUAAUUUAUGCAAUUUAACUUUAAGUCAUUUAUCAUUCAUUUCCAUUUACAUUUCAUUUAACUUGUUUAUGUUUAUGCCAUUUUCACUUUGCUCAUUUGAGCCAUAUCUUAUGAUUAUAUAUAUUGUUUGUGCAUUUUGAUUUUGUUUGUGGUCUUAGGACCUUAAAACACUUAAUAAACAAUAAUAACCCUAAAAAAUAUUUGGCGGACUAUUGAUCUUGAUAUGAACUUUUGGACUUAGGAUUAGUCAAGAUUCCCUAUGCAAAAAGGACUUGGCCAAUGCCAACAUUUUGAGACCAAGUUAUUGUGAAUUGAGACUUCAUCUGAUGCAAGUCUUGGGAUUUAUUUGAAUUCAUCUACUGUGAUCUCUGGCAUUUUAUUAGUUUUGAUUUGAAAACUUCUUAUCUUUUGGGUUUUGUUUGUACUCUUCCCUUUUCCUUUGGAAACAAUAAAAGCGCAGUGGCGACUCUGGUUUUAUCGACGUCAAGUUUAUCCAUAUCUUGAUGGUCAUGAAUUUACCGCUACAAAAAGAAAGUGGCGACUCUGCUGGGGAGUAGUCCUCAGUGGGUUUAACCUACUUUUUAUGUGUAUAUAUUUGUAUAUUUGGUGUUUGUAUAUGUUGUUUGUGUGAUAUAAUCUGUUUGUUGUGCUUGGGGAUCUCUAAGUAGUGAGAUAAGUUCUAACCCGAACUUGAGUGCAAUUAAGAUAGGAGGAAUGUAUGGUCAUGUUAAACUUGUGUGGAGUAGUCCUUAAUAAGUUGGAUUGAGACCCACCUACUAAGUGGAGACCUCUUUAGAGUUACUGAUGUCACAUAAGUUAUUUGUGGAUAUGCAUUAUUGUCUCUGAUUUUGGGUCCGAGAAGCUGAGGACCGUAGAACAUUUAACCCAACUUGGCCUAUUUAGGACGUAGUACGGAGACUAUUCAAGUGUAGACUUGAUCAUAGUUGUUACGCGAUACUACACUUAGACGAGUUUCUCUUGAGAAUAUUACGGGUUGAUGAGUCAGUCAUCCUAACCUGUAAUAUCCGAUGGAUGGGAUUAAGACUCUGGGAACUUUUGUAGAACAUGAUCUACAAGUAUUUACUCUUAGUACACUCCUUUGGGAUGGUUCUUAACCCGACUCCAUGCUCGUGACUCGCAACAAACCCUUUGAUUCUCGAUUGAUCCGAUCAAGUCUCAUCAAUAUCAAUGGAACUUGGGUGUUAAUAAGGUGAAAGCCAUAAUCCACCAAAAUGGAUGAUUGAUCUUGAUGAUUACUUGAUCCAUCCCUUGACCUUUAUUUUUGUUUGCCUUGUUUGUGAUUCCUUGUGUGUGAUUGUUUCAUUCAUGCAUACAUGCGCAUCAUGACAUUCAUCACAAAAAAAAUUAAUUUCAAGAAAACUAAGGUCUUAUUUACAAAUAUUUUCAGACCAUGGAUUAUGGAUGAAGGAACACUAAGAAGUACAGUUUUAGAUGUCCUAACUUGAAAGAUCUAAGGAAGUUGUCAUCCUUUGUACUAGAUCCCUUGGACUUCAAGCAUCGUCAUGGGAAGCUCUUGUCUGUGUUAUCUACUGAUGUGGUUGAAGGACUUCUGAGUGUUUUGGUUCAGUUCUAUGACCCUCUCUACCGGUGCUUCACUUUUCAGGAUUAUCAGCUUGUGCCCAUCUUGGAGGAAUAUGCCCAUCUCUUGGGUAUACCCGUAUCUAAAAAAGUACCUUUUAGUGGAUUGGAGAAGAUCCCGAGAUCUCAUGUCAUAGCUGAAGCUCUUCAUCUGAAGAAGUCUGAGGAUGAUGCUCAUUUGGUGAAGAAAGGAGGAAUUCUGGGGUUCACUUCUGAGUUUCUCAUUGGUAGAGCUACUGUUUUUUCUCAAGCCGGUAGCAUGGAUGCUUUUGAAGCUAUCUUGGUAUUGCUCAUUUAUGGCUUGGUUUUGUUUUCUAACAUUGACGGUUUUGUUGAUGUUAAUGCCAUUAGAAUUUUCUUGAUUGAGAAUCAUGUUCCGACUCUGUUAGGUGACAUGUAUUUCUCUUUGCAUUUGAGGAAUUCUAAAAGUGGUAGGACUAUUGUUUGUUGUGUUCCUCUUCUGUACAAGUGAUUUAUUUUGCACUUGCUUCAGACGCCUGCUUUCGUGGAGAACUGACAAUGUCUACGGUGGUCCCAGAGACUUAUGUCUCUCACUAAUGAUGAUAUUAUUUGGUAUGAUUCUGCAUUGGGUAGCUUGGACAUUAUUGACAGUUGUGGUGAAUUCUCUAACAUGCCUCUCAUUGGUACACAAGGAGGAAUCAACUACAACCCAACAUUAGCCCGUCGUCAACUUGGGCUCCCCUUGAGAGAUAAACCUAAUAACACUCAGUUAGAGGGUCUAUUAUAUCAGGAGGGUAAAGAUCCCCAACAUUUGAAUAAAAUGAUGAUACAUGCUUGGCAUAAUGUGAAUAGGAAAGGAAGAUCCAAGCUUGUCCACGCAGCUGUGUAGCCUUGGAAGCUUACACUAUUUGGGUGAAGAAGAGAGCUUUGAAGCUGAAGGUGUUGUACACUUGUGAAAUACCUAUGUCUUUGGUUAUGGAUGAGCUAACAACUCUCCCUAACCAAGAUGUAGAGGAGUUGGAAGACGCACUCGCCAAGAUGAAGCGAGAGAGAGAUAUGUGGGAAGAGCAGUUCCAUGCUUUGAGCUGAAAGCAUGAAGAGUUGCAGCUUGAAUCUAAAGACAAGGAUGCAAUUAUUGAGAUUCUUGCAGACCAUGCAAUAAAGAGACAGAGAAAGCCAGAGGAUUUAUUUUCCUCUAGUAUGCCUCAACCUUCCGGUGCUUCGAAGAAGAUUAUUGAUCAACUUGUCCUUGAGAAGGCUGAGAUGAAGACGUCCUUUGAGUCAGAGAUUCGAUGCAUCCGCAGGAAGUAUGCUCUUUUGGCUAGAUCUUCUGAUGCAGUUGCUAAGGAUCCUUCGGAUGAUAGUUUCCUUUUUCUCUUAUAUUUUUAUUUUGGUUUCUGAAAUUAUACUCAGUGUAAUCCUUCCAAAAUUUUAUAAAUAAAAGAGACGUUAUGAUCAAUUGAAUUAUUAUUGUUGAUUAUUGUUAUAUUUGAAAAUAAGACAUUAUAUAUUCCUUGAAAUUAAAAACAAUAAAAAACAUUGCAUUUCAUGCAUCAUUUGCAUGACAGGUUUCUUUCGCUAGAUGUCUUAUCAGUUCUUCUUCUGUGCAUCAGCCAAGCUGACUGACCGCUAUAAUACUCGUGCUAAUCAACCGAAGAGAAUGGAGCAUAUAGAGCAAGAGAAUAGAGAGUUGAAGGAUGAGACCUCCAGACUUACGAUGCUGAUGGAGUCAGUCAUUGCUGCUCAGAACCAGCCAUCACCGUCUCCUGGAACUCCUCCUCCUUAGAGGACUAUCAUUUCUGAGAUUGCUUCUCCAUCUGUAACUGUGACAGCUACCAGCCAGCCCAUUCCUGCAAUGACUACUGGAUUCCCUUGGGGAAUGCUACCAAAAUUUGUGCCAGAAGGGUAUGCACCCAUAUUUGUUUCUCUGCCUGCAUCUAGCCUCGUCAUGUCAGUACCUCCUCCCAUCGUUCAUACUCUGCCUCAUGUUGAGGAGACUAUCUACCACUCUGAACCAUCUGAAGGUCCAGAUGUCUAUGAAAAGAUGGAUGAGAUGGAGGAUGAAUUCCUUGAGCUGCGCAAAGAAUUGAAGACUCUGAGAGGGAAAGACUUGUUUAGGAAAAGUAUUGCUGAACUCUGUUUGGUUCCCAAUGUCAAAAUUCCGGUGAAAUUCAAGGUCCCAGACUUUGAAAAAUACAAAGGGAAUAUAUGUCCGUUGAGCCAUCUUGUCAGGUAUGCCAGAAAAAUGUCUACUCAAACUGAUAAAGAUUAGCUAUUGAUUCACUACUUCCAAGAUAGUCUGAAUGAAGUUGUCCUGAGAUGGUACAUGGGCCUGGAUAGUGCCAACAUUCGUACUUUCAAUGACUUGGGAAAGGCCUUUGUCAAGCAGUACAAGUACAACGUUGAUAUGGCACAAGAUGGAGACCAAUUGAGGUCUAUGUCUUAAAAGGAUAAAGAGACAUUCAAAGAAUAUGCUCAAAGAUGGAGAGAAUUAGCUGCUCAGAUCAGUCCACCUCUUGAAGAGAAGGAGAUGGCCAAGAUCUUCUUGAAAAUGCUGAGUUUGUUUUACUACGAACGCAUGAUUGCAAGUUCCUCCAAUGAUUUUACUGAAAUGGUAAACAUGGGGGUGAGGCUAGAGGAAGGAGUCCGUGAAGGACGUUUGUCUAAAGAAGAGGCGUUAGCUAGCAAGAAGUAUGGAGGGCGUUUUUCUAAGAAGAAGGAAGGAGAGACUAAUGCAGUAUUAGCUGGGAGGCAGAGGAGGCCUCAUGUAAGGAAAAAUUCUCAAUCCCGUCAACAUCAGCACCAAGUUUCUUUAGUAAUUCCAGUUUUUUCCAACAAUUCCAACAAUCAAUCAGUUCCAAUUCAGCAACAACAUCGGUAACAACCGCAACAAAGAACUAAUUACAACAACAAUCAUCAUCAGCAAAAUUUUGAAAGGAAGAAGGUCUCCUUUGACCCUAUUGCUAUGACGUAUGCAGAGUUGUACUUGUCUCUGGUACUCAAGAAUCUUAUUCUGCCGAGGAACCCUCCGCAAAUUCCUAAGCCACUACCAUGGUGGUUCAAGCCUAAUCUUCGUUAUGCUUUUCACCAGGAAGCCCUUGGUCAUGAUAUAGAAAAUUGUUAUCCGUUGAAAUAUGAAGUUCAAAAACUUUUGAAUAAUGGUAUGGUGUCCUUCGAGGAUAGAGCACCGAAUGUAAAAGCCAAUCCGUUGCUUGCUCAUGGUAACACUUUUAUUAAUAUGGUGGACGACUGUCCAGGAAAUUUUAGAGUUUUUUAUGUACGGUUGUCAUACCUAAUUUUCAACCCUAAGAUGCCACCAUCAUUUGUAUCAUUUGCAUGACAUCUAGUAUCUUUGUAUUACUAACCUAUUGAAAAUACAAAAAGAUUUUCUAAUUUGUUUGUCUUAAGCUAGGGUUUUGUACCAAGAGCUUUCAAAGAGUGAUCAAUCAAGACAUGGUAUGAGUUUCAAAAUUUCAAACUCCUCAUCUUUCCCAAGUUAUCAAGUGACUUCCAUCAACAAGAAUCAAUUUCAAGAUCAUUCCAUCUCAAAUUUAUCAAGGUCAGAGCCCAUCUAAUACCCUUAACUAGGGUUUUGACCCAAAGUCAAAUGUUUGACUUUUUAGCCAGGGCAUGAUCCCAAAGCUUGAAGUAUGGUUCAAAUACUUAAAAUACAUCAUAAUUGAUCCAUUCACAUAAUCCAAUGUUCCAAAUAGAUCCAAGUCAUUAAAGAUUGCAAGAAUUGGAUUCAUAUGAUAUAAAGUCAACUAAGGCAAAGUCAAAGUUUGACUUUUGACAUUUUUGGUCAACCAUGGACUUAUCAACUCAAUGAUCAUGAAAUUAUGGUUCAUGGAUGCAUUUGAUCAAGAAAAAACAAGAAAUUGGAGGUUACUUGCAAAAAGGGCAAGAUUUGGUUUUGUAAAUUUUUCUAAGUUAUAAAAAAAAUACAUGUUCAAGUACCCAUCUUUCCAAUGCAUAACUCGUGAUCCAGCCAUUCAUUUGCUUGCUUUUUUUUUGUUUGGGUUUGAGCCGAAUGUUCAUAUUAAAGGUAUUAAUUCAUACUUCAACUUUGUUCUUUAUGAUUGAUUCCCAAAAAAUACAAGGAUUUCAAGUUAUGAAGCCAUGAAGUUGGUACCCUAAAAUUAAAACACUUAGAAAAAUUUUCAACCAAAUAUGCCUUCAAAAAGUGGCUUAUCACUUUUCACCAUGAUCCAUAUUAAUCCAAGGAAAACUCCCAACAUUAAAGUUGUAUAGGAUGGUCUUAGCUUUCCAAAAAGUCAAAGAGCAUGAAAUUAUCAUAUUUGAGCUAGGAGUUUCGAAGAGUUGAAGUUGGCUCUCCAAAUCUGAAUUUUGGGUCAUUUUCAUGACAAAUUCAUCAUGUAACCUUGAGACAAAGCUAAAUGAUCUUUCUUUACAGGCUAUCUUGCUUCUAAAUCUCACCUUAAUCAGAAUAUUACACAAACCCUUGUGCAUUACACAAGGGAUUGAGCCAUUUACCAAGUCUUGAUGCCAUAUUUAGAAGGUUUUGCAAAAAGCUUCAUAUCCAUUUUGAUAAAGGCAAACUUUUCCAACCACUCUUGCAUUGAGCUUCUAACUUGUUUCUUAUGAUCAUACUUAACCUCUAAAAUAGAAGCAACAUCCUAAAAGUACCUCUAAACUCCUCCUUUCACUCCACCUUUU
This 15244-nucleotide long non-coding RNA is filed under the name Lathyrus oleraceus (garden pea). RNAcentral describes it as "Pisum sativum (pea) long non-coding RNA (PSAT_LNC009011)". The record is from RNAcentral. Lineage: Eukaryota; Viridiplantae; Streptophyta; Magnoliopsida; Fabales; Fabaceae.